GACGAACGCUGGCGGCGUGCUUAACACAUGCAAGUCGAACGGAAAGGCCCUGCUUUUGUGGGGUGCUCGAGUGGCGAACGGGUGAGUAACACGUGAGUAACCUGCCCUUGACUUUGGGAUAACUUCAGGAAACUGGGGCUAAUACCGGAUAGGAGCUCCUGCUGCAUGGUGGGGGUUGGAAAGUUUCGGCGGUUGGGGAUGGACUCGCGGCUUAUCAGCUUGUUGGUGGGGUAGUGGCUUACCAAGGCUUUGACGGGUAGCCGGCCUGAGAGGGUGACCGGCCACGUUGGGACUGAGAUACGGCACAGACUCCUACGGGAGGCAGCAGUGGGGAAGAGUGUACAAUGGGCGGAAGCCUGAUGCAGCAACGCCGCGUGCGGGAUGACGGCCUUCGGGUAGUAAACCGCUGUCGCCUGUGACGAAGCGUUAGUGACGGUAAUGGGUAAAGAAGCACCGGCUAACUACGUG
This 468-nucleotide ribosomal RNA is filed under the name uncultured bacterium. RNAcentral describes it as "partial 16S ribosomal RNA". It matches the Rfam family "Bacterial small subunit ribosomal RNA", at positions 28 to 507 of the family's 1533-position model. The record is from RNAcentral.